RNAcentral lists this ribosomal RNA (315 nucleotides) under Anopheles karwari. RNAcentral's name for it is "eukaryotic LSU rRNA". It matches the Rfam family "Eukaryotic large subunit ribosomal RNA", at positions 673 to 944 of the family's 3401-position model. The record is from RNAcentral. Lineage: Eukaryota; Metazoa; Arthropoda; Insecta; Diptera; Culicidae.
GUGCCGCCGGCGUGCGGGCACGCGUCUCUGAACCCCAAAGGCGCAGACAACUCGAUCUAGAGUGGGAUCACGGACUCGGCACGGGCGCAAGCCAAAUGCCGGGUCCCUCCAUCCCGGGGUGUCCCGGCACCGGGCGUCGUUAGUUCGGCGCCCUUGCGGGCAUCCCUCGAGUGCGUAGGAUGCGACCCGAAAGAUGGUGAACUAUGCCUGAUCAGGCCGAAGUCAGGGGAAACCCUGAUGGAGGGCCGAAGCAAUUCUGACGUGCAAAUCGAUUGUCAGAGUUGGGCAUAGGGGCGAAAGACCAAUCGAACCAUC